This 376-nucleotide ribosomal RNA is filed under the name uncultured bacterium. RNAcentral describes it as "bacterial SSU rRNA". It matches the Rfam family "Bacterial small subunit ribosomal RNA", at positions 524 to 898 of the family's 1533-position model. The record is from RNAcentral.
UACGAACCGUCCAAACGUUAUUCGGAUUUAUUGGGCUUAAAGGGUACGUAGGCGGCCCUGUUAGUCGGGUGUGAAAUCCCUCGGCUCAACCGAGGAACUGCGCCCGAUACUGCAGGGCUUGAGGGAGACAGAGGUAAGCGGAACUGAUGGUGGAGCGGUGAAAUGCGUUGAUAUCAUCAGGAACACCAGUGGCGAAAGCGGCUUACUGGGUCUCUUCUGACGCUGAGGUACGAAAGCUAGGGGAGCGAACGGGAUUAGAUACCCCGGUAGUCCUAGCUGUAAACGUUGAGCACUUGAUUGAGGAUCCCCCCAUAGGUUCUCGGUCGAAGCGAAAGUGAUAAGUGCUCCGCCUGGGGAGUAUGGUCGCAAGGCUGAA